RNAcentral lists this unclassified non-coding RNA (1102 nucleotides) under Bombus terrestris (buff-tailed bumblebee). RNAcentral describes it as "misc RNA ENSBTSG00005033946.1". Lineage: Eukaryota; Metazoa; Arthropoda; Insecta; Hymenoptera; Apidae. The record is from RNAcentral.
ACGAUACGUAGCUCGAAAACGUGUGAAACAUUAAACGUAUUGUAAACAGUUACGUAAAGCUUAACGAUUUAAUGCAAAAUGUAGCAUAUUCAAAUAUAGAAAUUUAUCCCAUACUACAUUCGAUUUAUAAUAAAUUUAAAAAUCAGUACGUUUCAAAGAGAGAAUGUGAAAUAAUUGGCAAACACAGCGAAAUGAGCGCGUGCGCAACCUUGCAAAGAAGUUGAAAAUCACGUUCUAAUAUACAUAUCCUUUCUUCGAGGAAUUCUUUGUGAUGCCACUCGAUUAACAAACGUAAACAAUGCUUUUCUAUAAGAUUAGACGUGGAUGGUCGAUUCGUAUCGAAAAAAUAUCGCUUAAGAUGGCUUAAGAACGUAUUUGGCUUACCGCUAAUGCGCCUCAUGGCGGCUCACGACACGGCUCGUAUCCAAAAACCGACGAGGUGGUCAAUCCAGCGAGGUAUGUAAAUCUUCCUGUUCGCUAUAAACACCAUGCCACAUGUACAAACACCGAUCAUCACCUACGCCAUGCACACACCGAUUCUGGAACGUAAGGUUCCCGCGCCAUUGCCCACUGAUGAGGCUUUUCUCGAACAAAGAAGAUAACCUGCCUCCUCCGACACCGUACUUUUCCCUGUUACGUUAACACGAAUAAGUAACCAGUCGCCUCGAGAAUGACUGACAUACUGUUAACCGCGAUCAGAGUGAUUCUCUCUACGCGGCGACCGACGGAUGCACUGACCGAAUGUGUGGUAAUUUUAAACGUACUUGAACGCGGGUGAGAAACGGCGACCAAACAGGGUAUAAACUACUCCAUCACGAUUUCUCACGUAGCACUGUCGUCCUCUAGUAUCCAAUGCCACCGCCAGAGCGCUCGACCAACCGGUAAUGAUAAAUCUCCUCCUUGUAUGGAUUUAGGUCCCCGAGCCGCACUGUUGGCUUUUUAAAUCCAUUCAUUCUAUCGCGUAUUCUGUACAUUGUUUUCCUGUAUUUCUGGUUGAUAUAAUAUCGUUACAUUAAACUAUAAAUGUAAAGCGUUAUAUAAAAAGAUUUACAGUGUGACAUAUAAGAUAGUAUAUUCGCUUUGUAUGUAAGCCAUACAAAAG